UACAGAGGUCCCAAGCGUUGUUCGGAUUCAUUGGGCGUAAAGGGUGCGUAGGCGGCGCGGUAAGUCGGGUGUGAAAUCUCGGGGCUUAACUCCGAAACUGCAUUCGAUACUGCCGUGCUUGAGGACUGGAGAGGAGACUGGAAUUUACGGUGUAGCAGUGAAAUGCGUAGAUAUCGUGAGGAAGACCAGUGGCGAAGGCGGGUCUCUGGACAGUUCCUGACGCUGAGGCGCGAAGGCCAGGGGAGCAAACGGG
RNAcentral lists this ribosomal RNA (253 nucleotides) under uncultured bacterium. RNAcentral's name for it is "partial 16S ribosomal RNA". It matches the Rfam family "Bacterial small subunit ribosomal RNA", at positions 524 to 776 of the family's 1533-position model. The record is from RNAcentral.